RNAcentral lists this long non-coding RNA (1159 nucleotides) under Junco hyemalis (dark-eyed junco). RNAcentral's name for it is "lncRNA (ENSJHYG00000008154.1)". The record is from RNAcentral. Lineage: Eukaryota; Metazoa; Chordata; Aves; Passeriformes; Passerellidae.
AGAAUGGAAGCCAGGAUUUUUGUUAGAAGAAAGCAGUUUCCUUUUGCUUUUGCUCUGGGACUAAAAAAUAUUGCAUGAGGCAAGAAAGUUUAACAGAAAAAAAUUCAAACUAUAGCACAAAAACAAAUGAAAUGUCACUUUGGGGUUCAACAGCUCUGUAACAACAGUCCUGCCCCAUUGGGAAAUUAUAUAUAAAUAUAUAUAUUUAAAAUACAACAGAAAAGGAAUCUCUUGUGAACUUUUGAACCUUUAAACUUUUUUUUUCCAAUAAAAAUAUCUAAAUUAACAGAGGAAAAAUAAAGUUUCUAAAUAAAGUCUUCCCCUAGGAUGGCAUUUUUGUCCUGCCAAAUUAAACUAACCAAAACUUUUGUUUCUCUAGCAAUUUAACUUCCCAAGAAAAAUACACCUGCAGCUAUCAGGAGCUUUGCUUGAACAUGCAGACCUUCUGUUUCAUGAACAACAUUUGAGGGCACUUCUGCAUUGUGGGAGGUUUCAGCCAAAGAAAGAGACAAGCCAGACCUUCCUGGCUGAAACAUCUGAAUUCAGAGGCAACCUGAGAUGUGUUCCAGCCUUACUGGGUUAAUAACCUGCUCUGCAGGCAGCCUCUUUGAUCCUUUCAAAGCUGAUCCUGAAGCAAGGCACGACCUGCUGCGAGGGAAGUGGUACCUGGGGUUUGAGAAGCAGGGGUCCAAGCUUCACUAUGGCAAUGGACAUCCAGAUUUUUCCUGUCCUGAGAUUUUUCUCCAGACUUAAGAUUUGUCCUGUCCUGAUCUUGAGGCCAUCAUUCCAUAUUUAGCAAAAUUUGUGAAGCACAGGGAAGGAGAGAUAUGAAACUUCCUUCAGAAAUAAUAGGUCAGCUCUGAAGACGUUGCUGUCUAGCUGAGGCCUGCAUUGAGCCCUAUGCAGCUCUGAGGGAGCUCUGAAGAUGUUGCUAAGUGAGGCCUGCAUUGACCCACAUGGCGGAAGUGCUGCAGAAAUAAGACUUGAGUCCUACAAAGGAAUGGGGGUUUGUUUUGUCCAGGCACAGGAGUGAAGAACAACCUUGUGGCUGUGUCUCUGAAGCGGCCUGGUACAAUGUAUGCAGCUCUGAGGGAGCUCUGAAGAUGUUGCUGUCUAAGUGUGGCCUGCAUUGACCCACAUGACAGUGCUGCUGAAAUAA